This 342-nucleotide ribosomal RNA is filed under the name uncultured bacterium. RNAcentral's name for it is "bacterial SSU rRNA". It matches the Rfam family "Bacterial small subunit ribosomal RNA", at positions 30 to 372 of the family's 1533-position model. The record is from RNAcentral.
AUUGAACGCUGGCGGCAUGCCUUACACAUGCAAGUCGAACGGCAGCACGGGAGCAAUCCUGGUGGCGAGUGGCGAACGGGUGAGUAAUAUAUCGGAACGUGCCCAGUCGUGGGGAUAACGUAGCGAAAGCUACGCUAAUACCGCAUACGAUCUAUGGAUGAAAGCGGGGGAUCGCAAGACCUCGCGCGAUUGGAGCGGCCGAUAUCAGAUUAGGUAGUUGGUGAGGUAAAGGCUCACCAAGCCGACGAUCCGUAGCUGGUCUGAGAGGACGACCAGCCACACUGGGACUGAGACACGGCCCAGACUCCUACGGGAGGCAGCAGUUGAGGAAUAUUGGACAAA